Molecule: unclassified non-coding RNA, 379 nt
Filed under: fungal sp.
Lineage: Eukaryota; Fungi
Description: partial internal transcribed spacer region
Rfam family: Eukaryotic small subunit ribosomal RNA (bases 1-46)
Source: RNAcentral
AAGUCGUAACAAGGUCUCCGUAGGUGAACCUGCGGAGGGAUCAUUAACACGUUUUAAAACACGUUUUAACACAACACCAACCAACCACGUGAACUAUUUAACAAUCCUGGAAAAGAGAGAAUUCUGUCUAUUUGCACACUAAUGAUGAGCUCUCGCAAGAGAGCGGUGUGUGUAGACUAGCAUUGCAGGCAACUGACUUUGUAAAGACCUUUCUUUUCUGGGCUAAAUGCCUCUCUCAUCACUGGGGCGAAAACACCACUUUCACUACUUCUAUAACCAUUGACUGUAUCUUUUUUUAAUUUUCUGCGCAAGCAGUGAUUGGAAAAAACCAUAAUCAAAUAUCUAAGCACAACUCUUAGCAACGGAUAUCUUGGUUCUC